This 346-nucleotide ribosomal RNA is filed under the name uncultured Streptococcus sp. RNAcentral's name for it is "bacterial SSU rRNA". It matches the Rfam family "Bacterial small subunit ribosomal RNA", at positions 1034 to 1382 of the family's 1533-position model. The record is from RNAcentral. Lineage: Bacteria; Bacillati; Bacillota; Bacilli; Lactobacillales; Streptococcaceae.
ACAGGUGGUGCAUGGUUGUCGUCAGCUCGUGUCGUGAGAUGUUGGGUUAAGUCCCGCAACGAGCGCAACCCCUAUUGUUAGUUGCCAUCAUUCAGUUGGGCACUCUAGCGAGACUGCCGGUAAUAAACCGGAGGAAGGUGGGAUGACGUCAAAUCAUCAUGCCCCUUAUGACCUGGGCUACACACGUGCUACAAUGGUUGGUACAACGAGCUGCGAGUCGGUGACGGCGAGCUAAUCUCUUAAAGCCAAUCUCAGUUCGGAUUGUAGGCUGCAACUCGCCUACAUGAAGUCGGAAUCGCUAGUAAUCGCGGAUCAGCACGCCGCGGUGAAUACGUUCCCGGGCCUU